AAGGCGUAGUCGAUGGGAACCAGGUUAAUAUUCCUGGGCCAGGAGAUGGUGACGGAUCGCAGGUGUUGUCAGUCCUUAUCGGAUUGAACUGGCAGCUGAGCGGUUCCUGGAAAUAGCCCUCCACAAGACCGUACCCUAAACCGACACAGGUGGACUGGUAGAGAAUACCAAGGCGCUUGAGAGAACCACAUUUAAGGAACUCGGCAAAAUACCUCCGUAAGUUCGCGAGAAGGAGGCCCGAUUGGCAGGCAACUGUUGGUCGGGGGCACAAAUCAGGGGGUGGCGACUGUUUACUAAAAACACAGGGCUCUGCGAAGUCGUAAGACGACGUAUAGGGUCUGACGCCUGCCCGGUGCCGGAAGGUUAAAAGGAGAUGUGCAAGCAUUGAAUUGAAGCCCCAGUAAACGGCGGCCGUAACUAUAACGGUCCUAAGGUAGCGAAAUUCCUUGUCGGGUAAGUUCCGACCUGCACGAAUGGCGUAACGACUUCCCCGCUGUCUCAAAUGUGGACUCAGCGAAAUUGAAUUGUCUGUGAAGAUGCAGACUUCCCGCGGUUAGACGGAAAGACCCCAUGCACCUUUACUAUAGCUUCGCACUGGCAUCAGGAUUGUGAUGUGCAGGAUAGGUGGUAGGCGCUGAAACCGGGACGCCAGUUCCGGUGGAGCCAUCCUUGAGAUACCACCCUUCGCACUCUUGAUGUCUAACCGCGGUCCGUUAUCCGGAUCCGGGACCCUGCGUGGUGGGUAGUUUGACUGGGGCGGUCGCCUCCCAAAGAGUAACGGAGGCGCGCGAAGGUUGGCUCAGAGCGGUCGGAAAUCGCUCGUUGAGUGCAAUGGCAGAAGCCAGCCUGACUGCAAGACUGACAAGUCGAGCAGAGACGAAAGUCGGCCAUAGUGAUCCGGUGGUCCCGAGUGGAAGGGCCAUCGCUCAACGGAUAAAAGGUACGCUGGGGAUAACAGGCUGAUGAUGCCCAAGAGUCCAUAUCGACGGCAUCGUUUGGCACCUCGAUGUCGACUCAUCACAUCCUGG
Molecule: ribosomal RNA, 1028 nt
Filed under: soil metagenome
Description: bacterial LSU rRNA
Rfam family: Bacterial large subunit ribosomal RNA
Source: RNAcentral